Molecule: long non-coding RNA, 5219 nt
Organism: Sceloporus undulatus (fence lizard)
Lineage: Eukaryota; Metazoa; Chordata; Lepidosauria; Squamata; Phrynosomatidae
Exons: 3
Source: RefSeq, a predicted model, not a curated record
GUCUUUUCUCAUCUUUUUUGUAAAUACAUUGUGCUUUCCACUGUAGAUGCAAGUAUGGCUUGGCUUCCUUUCACUAUCCGUUUCUUUUUCUUGGACACUGUCGUUUCAGAGGUUUGGCACAAGCAAAGCUCCUGUUAAAGUCAGAGCAGCUGCAGGAGGAGUGAUAGUAAAGCAAAGAAUGGAUCUACCAUUUCCACUGUGAUAAGCCCUAAAGGUAUCCCAGCAACAGUAUAUUAUGAGCAGUUCCGAACAUAAAGCAAAGAAUUUUGACGUGGCUUCUUUUGAAUGAGCUUUUUAGACUCAAUAGCUAUACAAAAGGCCUGCUCCCUAUGGGGAUGAAAACAGCUAGAAGUAUUUUGUUGCUAUGAAUCAAUGCAUCUGCUUGUAUUUUAUUUUAUUCUUCCUAUGGUUAUGGCUAUAGACAACAUCAUGAUGAGUGCCUGCUCACUGCUUUCCAAAUUACAGAGAGUAAUAGUACAUUGUUGUUGCUGUUGUUGUUGAUGUUGUUCUUAUUCUUGUUAUUUGCUAUCAGGUUGACUUUGAUGUACAGAAACUCUAUGAAUCAGUCAUCAGCUGCCCUUCUCAGGUCUUGUAAACUCAGGGCCAUGGCUUCCUGGAUCGAAUCAACCCACCUGUAGUGCAGCCUCAUGUGGCCUUUUCUGUGGUUGCCCCUAGGCUUUGGAACUCCCUGCCCAGGGAGGCCAGAAUGGCCCCUUCCUUGAUGGCCUUCCGCCAACAGAUGAAGACCUUCCUCUUCAAGCAUCCCCGACAGAUGGCCAUCCAGCCUCUGUUUAAAGAUCUCUAAGGAAGGAGACUGCAUUGCGCUACGGUCAUUUUAAUUACUGUAUACAGGAUUUCAGAUCUAGCAUGGUAUAUUUUGAGCAUAGGACUAGAACUCUUGAUAUUGGAGUUUGAUUCUCUGAUGGGCCAAGGAAACCUGCUGGGUGUUGUUGGACAAGUCACACAUUCUCAGCCCCAGAAAACCCCGUGAUAGGUGAGCCUUGGGGUCACCAUAACUCGGAAAUGUCUUGAAAGGCACACAGCAACAAAAACAAAGUAGCAUUUAAAAUUAGUUAUUUAAAACUAGCUAUUGAAAAACCACUGUUGGCCAUUCCUCAGUCUGUAGAAUGUGUAUGGAAUAGAUGGUGAGUUCCACAACUUAUUUUCAUAAAGCAGUAAAAAACAUAAUGUUUGGAGUAGGCCUAUUCAUCAUGGUGGGAGCUACUUUUUUUAGCCCCUGUUUUCCAAAAAAGUUAACAGCAAAAACUAAUGUCAUGCUUGUGGAGAGAUAUUACAGAAAUGAGGAUGAACACUUAGCCCCUUGCAGGAUUAAGGCCCAUGUUUAAUCUGAAGGACUUGAAAUCUAUGUCAAAUGGUAUCAGGUGCCAACUGGCAUCAAAUAGUUUCUCUUAAGAGAUGUAUUUAUUUAUUAACUGGCUCUGAGAAAAUUUCUUUUAGAUGAUGAUUUAAAGCAUUUCCUGAGAAUGUUGUGAAGAUGGAGAGGUACAUCAGACUGGAAAGAUAGCCAUAAAAAGCUAGAUAAGUAGCAUUCCGCACACCUCUUUAUCCUCUGCAUCAUCCUCUAUAGAGGAUUAGCUAUGCUGAAUAAGCAUUAGAGCUUUAAUGACAAACAGUUGCUUUGUCUAAUGAUACAUUUCUUGUUUCUGCAUGAUGAAGCCAUUCACCAGCUUGGUCCUGCUCAGCUUGCUUUUCGCCAUCCAAAGUGAAGCGCUGCAAUGCUAUACAUGUGUAGGCACAAGUGAUGAAGAAUGUAACAGACAAGGAACAGAGCAAUGUCCAGGCUAUUCUGAUGCAUGCGCAAUCAUCAGAGGACAGACAGGUGGCAUUAUGAAGUCUUGUUCCUACAAGUCGUUCUGUGAACGGGCACGGAGGGAAGGUUCCCGUGCACCAGGAGUACGUGUUCACUGCUGCUACUCAAACAACUGCAAUGCCAAAGGCCUGGGCUCAAGAAACAUUCUCUCUACCAGCUCCCUCUGUCUACUUUUCUCUGCCAUCCUCUGGCAGUUGUUUUUUUAACGCAGAGUGAAACAUGAACUGGGUAGGAUGGAGCAAAAGCUGUUAAACCUGAGCUUAUAAAGUGUAAUUUGAAACAAUCUGGGUGAGGGUAGAUCAAACUUUCUUGUGAACAUAGCACAGAAAUCAGUGCCAUCAGAUGUUGGUGAGGAGCGGGGUGAAAAAAGUACAUCUGCAUGCUGAAAAUAAUUAUAAGCUUCUGUGUCUGCAUACAGGGAUUUAAGUGACUGACAAAUGACAUUGUACGGUUGGCUUCUCAUAAAGCCUGUACUGUUCACUAAAUGAAAAAAUGUGAUCAAAUUAAGGACCCUUCCAAAUUGGUCUCUUAAGAAGUAGGUAUUCUCCCGUGGUAUCAUCUUGAGUUUUUUCCAGUUGUACUGGCUGUUGUCACCUCUGCACCUGUUUAAUGUGCCCCAUUGGGGGGACCAUAUGUAGUGGGGAAUUCUAAGGCAAUGCUAUGACAUGAAAGACAAAUUUUCUCCUCUCUUAAUUUUCAAUUUUCUUCUUAGAUUUAUAGUGUUUUAGUGCAAAAGAGCCAUUUCAUUGUUACAAUAUAAAUCUAAAAAAAAAUUAAAAAGAGGGAGGGGAAGAGUUUUUUGUUAAGUUAUGUCUUGGAAUUAGAAAGAAAACCACUUAAGGAUGGGUUUGUUGCAGGAAUGGCCAGAAAAUGGUCUGGUACAACAGAAACAUUGUUUGGUUAUUUUUUUCUAAAGAAAAGACAACUAUAACAAGAAAUGCUGCAAACUCCAGCAAACUCCUGACACACAUCUCCAUCUGGAGGAGUCCUAAGAAAAUGAAGACCUGUUAAUUCAAACAAAAAUGUUGAUGUGUUAAUGCAAGUCAUGAAUGGGAAGUGAGAAUGGACUGAUUAGUCCCAUCCUUGACAUAUGUGUCUGUACCUCAAACAUCUGCAUUGAGGAAGCCAUUGUGCAUCUAGAUUAGGAUGGGUAACUGCAUGGGUGCCAAGGGCUAAUUCCCCACACUACCCCUUUGUGGGAUGUACCUUCCUAGCACACCAAAAUACCUCCGUUUUUAUUCAGUCCCUCUCAGAUUGAUGAGCAGAUGUGGUGUCUUGUCACUUCCUGUCACCUUUUUGAAAAGUUCUCCAGUGAAACUGGAGGAACUGAGAGGGGGAGUGUGUGUUAUUGUAGGGUUUGAUGGAUUUCUGUAUAGUUUGAGGGCAAAAGUCAUCUGAAAAUGACACUAAAAUUGUUUUAAAGGGGGACUUGUGAUAGGUUUCAGGGCCACAAAAGUGGAAUCCAUGAGCCACAUGUGAUCCACAGGCCAUACCUUCCCCUCAACCCUAAUCUAGAUUCGAGUUGCAUGCAUGAAAGCAUCCAUGUAAUCUGGAACCUACACAGUCCAGAUUUCAAUGCUGGACAAAUGCUUUCAGCUGUGUGCAUAAAGACUUCUGUGCUGUAGACAUUUGUGCUCUAAGUGUGGACAAAGAGGAGCAGGGGAAGCCAGUUCAUUAUGUUUCAGGGAGGAUUAGCAAGCAAUCCAAUAAUUUAGAAGAUAAAUUAGAGCUGGAUUAUUUAGUUAUGUAUCUUGGUUUCACAGUGUACGGUUCUGCAACUUUGGCAUAGUUCUGCAUAACUAACAGCACAGUAUUUAGAGUGUUGUUAAUUCAGGAAUUUGGAAAUGAUCUUCUUGUACUGAGUGUGUUUCAUUACAAACAUAGUUGAGGAAGAAGUAUCGUUUUGUGUACGAUAGUACCUGCAGUUGUAGCCGCAAAACAAGAUUAAGUAAUCAUACCAUUUCCAGAUGAUAGAUUUAGGUUGCAGUCCUUUCCCAGAGUAAGGUGGUAUAAGUCUUACUGAACUCAAAGGGACUUUCAUAUGAGUAGAGACAAGGUAGUGUUCUUAAUUCCCAUCUUAAAUUCCCAUCUUAAGUUUAACCUACAUAACCAUCAACUUAACCUGAUGUUCCUAACUAUCCAUGUUUGAAUAAGAUAAUUACUUUCAAGGUCUUCCUAAUCAAAUUCAUUUCAGCAAGACAGUCUGCUUAUCGAAAUGUCCUGUGCAUCAGUCAUAUAAACAGUGGAUACUUAUGUCAUGAAUAAACUGCAGUUUUCCUAAGCCCACAUCAGUAUACCCAGUUGUAAUGGAUGAUGGCAUUUGCAGUUCAGCAAUAUCUGGAAAGAUAUAUGUUGCCCACCUCUGCCUGCAAAUUCAUAUACAAUAUGAAAUUCAGCCUGAUCUUCCAAACAAGCUGGUUUUUAGGCAUUUGUACAGGAUGAGUCUCCCUUAUCCAAAAUGCUUUGGCCCAGAAGUGUUUUGUAUUUCAGAUUUCAGAAUAUGUGCAUAUACAUAAUGACAGUUUAGAUUUACACUGUGAAGACUGAUUCAUGGGAGCAAUCUCAGUCAAAACCUAAUAUGGAUUACACAAAUUACAUUUGCCAAAGCACAAGUCCCACUCAGAAAAAGCAUGUAUAUUUUAUAUCAGGUUUCAUGAGACCAUUUGGGCCUCUAGAUGUUCUCUCUUAUAGUUUGUUAUUAUUAGCCUUGCUGGGCGAGGCAGAUGGAAGCUGUAUUGCUAAACAUUUGAAAGGACAAAGAUUCCCCAUUCCUGCUUUACAGAUUCUAGGAGGCUGCCAGGGCUGGAUUAACCAUUAAGCAAAAUAAGCACAUGCUUAAGGCAUCAAGGGAAGGAGAGCACCAUAGAAAUUUUCCAUUGUUGGACUUACCAUGGACCAUAUAGUGCACAACUGAAAAGGUUCAGCUGAACCAGGUUCCAAACAAAAAAGGUUUCCACAAUAAAUGGAAUAUACACACGCACAUAAUAAUAAUAAUAAUAAUAAUAAUGAUGAUGAUGAUGAUGAUGAUAACAACAACAACAAAAAAUAAUACAAUAGUAACAGAGGUUAAUGAUAUACAUUAAUCUUGAGAAUACAACAAAAUUAGAAUUUGGUAAUCCAUUUUAUCAUAGACUGGUUCAUUUCAAAAAAAUAAAUUUUUAUUUUACAGUUUACUAUUGUUUAUAUUUUGAGUUAGAUAUAUAUGGGGGCACCAAAAUCUUUUAAGUGAUUACGACCUCUGCAUGGUUUAAUCCAGCCCUGGAAGCUUCAAGCUUCUUCAAGCCUCUUUCUUUCUCAAGUAUGUUGCAGAAUGUUAAUAGGUUAUUCUGGAUUAAGAAGAAACAAAAUACAAUGGAUCCUUGUUAUCUGCUGGGGUUUGAUUCCAGGA